GGAAUCUUCCACAAUGGACGCAAGCCUGAUGGAGCAACACCGCGUGAGUGAAGAAGGGUUUCGGCUCGUAAAGCUCUGUUGUUAAAGAAGAACACGUAUGAGAGUAACUGUUCAUACGUUGACGGUAUUUAACCAGAAAGUCACGGCUAACUACGUGCCAG
This 161-nucleotide ribosomal RNA is filed under the name uncultured bacterium. Its description in RNAcentral is "partial 16S rRNA". It matches the Rfam family "Bacterial small subunit ribosomal RNA", at positions 358 to 511 of the family's 1533-position model. The record is from RNAcentral.